Molecule: ribosomal RNA, 229 nt
Filed under: uncultured bacterium
Lineage: Bacteria
Description: partial 16S ribosomal RNA
Rfam family: Bacterial small subunit ribosomal RNA
Source: RNAcentral
CGGGGUGAGUAAUGUAUGGGGAUCUGCCUGAUGGCGGGGGGUAACUACUGGAAACGGUAGCUAAUACCGCAUAAUGUCUACGGACCAAAGCGGGGGACCUCCGGGCCUCGCGCCAUCAGAUGAACCCAUAUGGGAUUAGCUAGUAGGUGAGGUAACGGCUUACCUAGGCGACGAUCCCUAGCUGGUCUGAGAGGAUGAUCAGCCACACUGGGACUGAGACACGGCCCAG